UACAGAGGUCUCAAGCGUUGUUCGGAUUCAUUGGGCGUAAAGGGCGCGUAGGCGGCUUGACAAGUCAAAGGUGAAAUCCCUCGGCUCAACUGAGGAACUGCCUUUGAAACUGUCAGGCUUGAGGCCGGGAGGGGGUAGCGGAAUUCCCAAUGUAGCGGUGAAAUGCGUAGAUAUUGGGAGGAACACCAGUGGCGAAGGCGGCUACCUGGACCGGUUCUGACGCUGAUGCGCGAAAGCGUGGGUAGCAAACAGG
Molecule: ribosomal RNA, 253 nt
Filed under: uncultured bacterium
Lineage: Bacteria
Description: partial 16S ribosomal RNA
Rfam family: Bacterial small subunit ribosomal RNA
Source: RNAcentral